RNAcentral lists this ribosomal RNA (426 nucleotides) under uncultured bacterium. RNAcentral describes it as "bacterial SSU rRNA". It matches the Rfam family "Bacterial small subunit ribosomal RNA", at positions 354 to 796 of the family's 1533-position model. The record is from RNAcentral.
GUGAGGAAUUUUCCGCAAUGGGCGAAAGCCUGACGGAGUAAUGCCGCGUGAAGGAUGAAGGCCUAUGGGUUGUAAACUUCUUUUCUCAGAAAAGAAUUAUGACGGUAUCUGAGGAAUAAGCAUCGGCUAACUCUGUGCCAGCAGCCGCGGUAAGACAGAGGAUGCAAGCGUUAUCCGGAAUGAUUGGGCGUAAAGCGUCUGUAGGUUGUUUAAAAAGUAUUCUGUCAAAGAUUAGGGCUUAACCCUAGAUAGGCAGAAUAAACUUUUAAGCUAGAGUUUGGUAGAGGCAGAGGGAAUUCCCGGUGGAGCGGUGAAAUGCGUAGAUAUCGGGAGGAACACCAAAGGCGAAGGCACUCUGCUGGGCCAAUACUAACACUGAGAGACGAAAGCGAGGGGAGCAAAUGGGAUUAGAAACCCGAGUAGUCC